This 5578-nucleotide long non-coding RNA is filed under the name Sus scrofa (pig). Its description in RNAcentral is "lncRNA (ENSSSCG00040006819.1)". Lineage: Eukaryota; Metazoa; Chordata; Mammalia; Artiodactyla; Suidae. The record is from RNAcentral.
GGAUCCAUGAGGUUGUGGGUUCGAUCCCUGGCCUCGCUCAGUGGGUUAAAGAUCUGUCAUUGCUGUGACCUGUGGUGUAGGUCACAGUUGCGGCUCGGAUCUGGUGUUGCUGUGGCUCUGGCAUAGUCCAGCAGCUGCAGCUCCAAUUUGACCCCUAGCCUGGGAGCCUCCAUAUGCUGCAGUUUCAGCCCUAAAAUAAGCAAAAAAUAAAUACAAAUAAAAAAUAAGUCCAUUGAAACCAUAAGACUUUGGGGACUAAAGAUUUUUAGAAAUCUAAGUACUUGGUUUUACAAAAGUGAUUCUCAAACUUUUUCUGGGUCAUGAAUCAAGCUGAUAAUCUGAUGAAAACCACAGACCCUUCAAAUAAAUGCUCUGCAUUAGGUAGCUACUGUGUAACAAAUUACCUCGAAUUUAGUAGCUUAAGAUCACAAAAUUAGUUUUCUCACAGUCUCUGGGGAUCAGGAAUUCAGGAGCAGCUUGGCUGGGUGGUUCUGACUCAGGGUCUCCCAGCAUGCAGUAACGAUGCCGUCCAGGGCUGCAGUCAGCUGAAGGCUUUGCUGGGCUGGAGGAUUUCUUCCAAGGUGGCCCAUUCACACAGAUAUUGGCAGGAAGCCUUAGUCCUCAUGACACAGCAACUGGCUUCCCCCAGAGUCAAUAUCCAAGAGAGAAAGAAGGAGAAAGCGGUGAUGCCUUUUGUAACCUAUUUUCAGAAGUAACACAGCAUCACUCACUUUCUAUUUCUACAUAUCACUUCAUGUUCUAUUUGUCGUAAGUGAGCCACUGAGUCCCCACCCACACUUGGGGGGAGGACAAUUAAGGUGCACAUCUCGAAGGAAGGGCUAUCAAAGAAUUGGUGGACAGAUUUUGAAACCACCUCAUACACUUCAUUCUGCAUCAGCAUUCAGAGAAUUUACAGAUUUUUUUUUUUUUUUUUUUUUGUCUUUUUAGGGCCACACCCACAGCGUAUGGAGGUUCCCAGGCUAGGGGUAGAAUCGGAGCUACUGCUGCCGGCCUACACCACAGCCAUAGCAACGUGGGAUCUGAGCCGCAUCUGCUACCUAUGCCGCAGCUUAUGGUAACACCAGCUCUUUAUUUAUUUAUUUAUUUUUUUAUCCCUUGAAGGAAUACCAGCUCUUUAACCCACGGAGUGAGGCCGGGAUCGAACUCACAUCCUCAAGGAUACUCGUCGGGUUUUUUACCACUGAGCCACAACGGGAGCUCCACAAACAAACUUAAUAUCCACAUGGCUUAACACAGUCAACGUUUCUCACUCACAUCACAGAUCCAUGCAAAUUAGGUGGCUCUCUUAGGGAUCUAGGAUCCCUCUUUUGCAUGCCCCUGCCAACCUGGAGUCCUUUCCUUCAUGUGGGUAAAAAGAGUGACCUAUGGAUCUCACCUGAAAAUUUUGGACCAGGCUCCCAAGUGGCAGUGUUAUUUCUGCCCACAUAACAUCAUCCAAAACUAGUUCUCCACACUAACCUAACAGCCGGAAGAGGCCGGGAAUUGUAGUUAAUCUGUGACCGGAAGAGGAGCCAGGAUUGGUCAGUGUGCAGCCAAUCCUCUGUUCCCUCAUAUGUCACUGGCCAGAGUAUUGGGUCAAAUGUCUCUUUCUACUAAUACCACGGGUAAGGGGAAUGGAAUUACCACGAGUGGCAUCUAUUAAUUAUAUCUGUGUGAUUAUAGAUUCCCCUCCUAUUUUUCAGUCAUAACACAUUGCCAACAGACUGAAUACAAAAGCAGCAUUGCUGGAGCCAUGUUUCAGCCCCAAGAGUGAGCCAUUCCCUCUCAUUGGAUGUUUUUUUAAUGAGAUAAAAAUUUAUUAUGGUUUAAAAAAAAAAAAAAAAAAAAGUGGAGUUCCCGUCUCGGCUCAGUGGUUAACGAAUCCCACUAGGAACCAUGAGGUUUCGGGUUUGAUCCCUGGCCUUAUAAGGAUCCAGCAUUGCUGUGAGCUGUGGUGUAGGUUGCAGACGCAGCUUGGAUCCCGUUUUGCUGUGGCUCUGGCAUAGGCCGGCAGCUACAGCUCUGAUUAGACCCCUAGCCUGGGAACCUCCAUAUGCCAUGGGAGCAGCCCUAGAAAAGAUUAAAAAAAAAAAAAAUUAUUAUGUUUUAAACCUGCCAAUUCACAUUUUCCGUUAUUUGUAAAGCAUGAAAGUAGAAACUAAAAUGAUCAUCUUAGGUGCCGAAAAAGCAUUUGACAUGGAUCUACCAUUUGCAGCAAACUAGGGAUAGAAGAGAAUGUUUUCAACCUUUUAAAGAACAUCUGCAGGGAGUUCCUGUGGGGGCUCAGUGGGUUAAUUACCUGUCGCAGUGUCUGGGAGGAUUCGGGUUCCAUCCCUGGCCUCGCUCAGUGAGUUAAGGGUCUGUCAUUGCUGCAAGCUGCAGUGUAGGUCACAGAGGCAGCUCAGAUCUGGUGUUGUGUUAGCUGUGGGGUAGGCCCCAGCUGCAGCUCUGAUUUGACUCCCGACCCAGGCACUUCCAUAUACCAUAGGCGCAGCUGUUAAAAAAAAAAAAAAAAGGAAAAAAAAAAAAAAGAAAUCUAUAAAAAAAUCUACAGCUGACAUCAUAUUUAAUGGUAAAAGACUGAAUUAUUUCUGCCUAAGAUGUUGGAGAUCCUAACCACUGUAAUAAGGUAAAUAAAUAUAAAAGACAUGUAUUGGGAGUUCCUGUCGUGGCGCAGCAGAAAUGAGUCCGACUAGGAACCAUGAGGUUGUGGGUUCAAUCCCUGGCCUUGCUCGGUGGUUUGGGGAUCCGGUAUUGCUGUGAGCUAUGGUAUUGGUCGAAGAUGCGGCUCAGAUCCCGAGUUGCUGUGGCUGUGGCGUAGGCUGGCAGCUAUAGCUCCGAUUUGACCCCUAGUCUGGGAACUUCCAUAUGCCAUAGGUGCAGCCCUAAAAAAGACAAAAGAAAAAAAAAAAAAAAAAAAAAGAAAUAUAUAUUGGGAAUAAAGAGGUGAAACUGUUUUUAUUUGCUUUUGACAUGAUUUUGUAUGUAGAAAAUCUUAGGGAACAUACUCCAAACUAUUAAAACUAGUAAGUGAAUGUAGUGGGGUUAUAGCAUAUAGGAUUAAUGCACACAAGUCAGUUGUAUUUCUGUACACGAGCAAUACCUCCAAAAAAUAAAUUCAUAUAACAAUUCUAUGUAUAAUAUCCAAAAUCAUAUUUGGGAAUAAAUUUAUAGAAGAUAUGUAACACUGUACAUUGAAAGUUACAAAACAUUGUUGAGAGAAGUUAAAGAAAAGCUAAAUGGAGUUCCCUUCAUGGCUCAGUGGUUAACUAAUCUGACUAGGAACCAUGAGGUUGCAGGUUCAAUCCCUGGCCUUGCUCAUGGGUUAAGGAUCCGGCGUUGCCGUGAGCUGUGGUGCAGAUCUCAGACGUGGCUCAGGUCCUGCGUUGCUGUGGCUGUGGUGUAGGUCGGCGGCUACAGCUCCGAUUCGACCCCUAGCCUGGGAACCUCCAUGCUGUGGGUUCGGCCAUAGAAAAGGCAAAAUAAAUAAAUAAAUAAAACUUAUUAUAAAGCUAUGUUAAUUGAGGAAAGACAUAGAAAUCAAUGAAACAAAAUUGAGAGUUCAGAAAUAGACCCAUAAUUUUAUGUUGAUUGCUUUUCGACUAAGGUACCAAACUACUUCAAUAGAGAAAUAAUAAAUGGUGCUAGAGGAGUUCCCUGGUGGUUCAGUAGGUUAAGGAUCUGGUGUUGUCACUACUGGGGUUUAGGCUGAUGCUGUGGCAUUGAUUGGAUCCCUGGCUCAGGAACUUCCACGUGCUGAGGGCAUGGAGGAAAAAAACAACAAAAAAUUAAAGUUUAUUACAACUUGUCUCUUGAAUUCAUGUCUUUUUCCAUAUAGGUAUCUGUUCUUUUUUUUUUUCCUUUUUUCUCUUUAUGGCCACACCUGUGGCAUAUGGACAUUCCCAGGCUAGAUGUCGAAUCGGAGCUAUAACUGUCAGCCUAUGCCAGAGCCACAGCAACACAAGACCCAAACCACCUCUGCGACCUACACCACAGCUCACAACAAUGCCAGAUCCUUAACCCACUGAGUGAAGCCAGGGAUGGAACCCACAAUCUCAUGGUUCCUAGUCUGAUUCGUUUCCACUGCACCACAACGGGAACCCCUGGUAUCAGUUAUUCUAACACUAUUUAUUUAUUUAUUUAUUGGCCAUACUUGUGGCUUGUGGAUGUUCCCAGGCUAGGGAUCAAACCCGUGCACAACAGUGACAAUGCCAGAUCCUUAACCCACUGAGCCACCAGGGAACUCCCAGCCACCAGCGGUUUUACUCACCACUGCUUUGCCAAUGUGUCAACACAGUCAUAACAAAGGCAAGAGCAACAUUUUAACAUUGCUGUCAAAAGAGCUUUGACCUUGUGGGCCCCGGGAAAGGAUCUGUGGAAUACACUUUGAGAACUGCUCGUCUAGUAGAAAGAGGUAAAAAGAGAAAAGAAGGCAGCCUGAGCCCAAGCCUUGAAAUCUAGUAUUUAAUGGCCCGGUUAGGGGAGGAACCUAAGAGGCUGCACAGGAGUAACCUGAGACGAGAAAAGCCGGCAGAGUGCAAAGUCAGGGAGGCCAAGCGAAUGCUUUCAGGAGGGAGGGGCCAAGAGCCUGGAAUGUGGUUCUGGUCCAGGUCCAGGAAGACGAGAGAGGAGAAACAGCCCCUGGGUUAAGUGACCCGGAUCUCACCAGUGACCUUAGCAAGAGCUAUUUCCACGGAGCGAUCAGUGCAGCAGUCAGACUAGGGGGAGCUGGGGAAUGAUGAGCACACGGGAGGCAAUGAAACUGGUGCAGGUGCCCGUCUACAGAGAGCUCUGCGAAGGGGAAAAAUAAGCUAAGGCAGCUGCUGAAGGAAGGAGUCAUACUCGUUCAUGUACUAUGAGUGAAUGAAUGAAUGAAUGGAUGGAUGAGGGAUGCAUUGGAUACAGAGGCUAGAGCAAAAGAAAAGCCCGGGAGGAUCCUGGUGUCCAGCUUAUGGAACUACUUGAAGAGUUAGUGGUCUUUUUGUCGAGAUGGUGAGCAAGACCCAAUGUGAGGUGGAAUAUCCCUGGAGUUUGAGUAGAGGAAGUGUUUUCUUAGGAAAUCCUAAUUUCCCUUUUCAAGAAGUCAUUUUUUUUUCCUCCCCAAGCCUCAAAACCUGCUUACUGCUUCCAUUGGUAAUAAAUAUUGAGAGUUUCAAAGUGGUAAUGAAACUUUCUUGGAGUGGAAAGUUCACCUUCGUUUUACCUUCUAACCAAAAAAUGUCAUGUCUUCAUAUAGUGGAAGGUUCUCAAAUUUUGUUCCAUUAGAAAAAUUUAUGCCUUUAAUUGAAACUAUUUUGGGUCUCUUCAUUGAACAUUUUCUUAUUUUAAUGAACAGAAUUAACUGGAGGAGUUCCCGUCGUGGCUUAGUGGUUAACGAAUCCGACUAGGAACCGUGAGGUUGCGGGUUUGGUCCCUGGCCUUGCUCAGUGGGUUAAGGAUCCAGCGUUGCCGUGAGCUGUGGUGUAGGUUGCUGUGGUUGUGGCCUAGGCUGAUGGCUACAGCUCUGAUUGGACCCCUAGCCUGGGAACCUCCAUAUGCUGCGGGAGCAGCCCAAGAAAAGGCAAAAAAAAAAAAAAAA